This 769-nucleotide ribosomal RNA is filed under the name Microbacterium sp. Its description in RNAcentral is "bacterial SSU rRNA". It matches the Rfam family "Bacterial small subunit ribosomal RNA", at positions 43 to 824 of the family's 1533-position model. Lineage: Bacteria; Bacillati; Actinomycetota; Actinomycetes; Micrococcales; Microbacteriaceae. The record is from RNAcentral.
CGUGCUUAACACAUGCAAGUCGAACGGUGAAGCCAAGCUUGCUUGGUGGAUCAGUGGCGAACGGGUGAGUAACACGUGAGCAACCUGCCCCGGACUCUGGGAUAAGCGCUGGAAACGGCGUCUAAUACCGGAUAUGAACCACAGCCGCAUGGUUGGUGGUUGGAAAGAUUUUUUGGUUCGGGAUGGGCUCGCGGCCUAUCAGCUUGUUGGUGAGGUAAUGGCUCACCAAGGCGUCGACGGGUAGCCGGCCUGAGAGGGUGACCGGCCACACUGGGACUGAGACACGGCCCAGACUCCUACGGGAGGCAGCAGUGGGGAAUAUUGCACAAUGGGCGGAAGCCUGAUGCAGCAACGCCGCGUGAGGGAUGACGGCCUUCGGGUUGUAAACCUCUUUUAGCAAGGAAGAAGCGAAAGUGACGGUACUUGCAGAAAAAGCGCCGGCUAACUACGUGCCAGCAGCCGCGGUAAUACGUAGGGCGCAAGCGUUAUCCGGAAUUAUUGGGCGUAAAGAGCUCGUAGGCGGUUUGUCGCGUCUGCUGUGAAAACUGGAGGCUCAACCUCCAGCCUGCAGUGGGUACGGGCAGACUAGAGUGCGGUAGGGGAGAUUGGAAUUCCUGGUGUAGCGGUGGAAUGCGCAGAUAUCAGGAGGAACACCGAUGGCGAAGGCAGAUCUCUGGGCCGUAACUGACGCUGAGGAGCGAAAGGGUGGGGAGCAAACAGGCUUAGAUACCCUGGUAGUCCACCCCGUAAACGUUGGGAACUAGUUGUG